ACAAAUCAUACUCAGGCUGAUGCUCGUCAUCUAAAUCUGCAUACGGCCUCCACCGAAAAUUUGCCUCAAUCAUGUUAUCCAGCUCGUACCGGGUGAUACGACGCUGACCGUGCGGCACCUCAGUACGGGUAAACGGCCCUGUCAACCUACAACAAAAUGUUUAUACUAUACGUGAACUAGUACAUGUGCACAAACUGGAGGAUAUACAAACUUAUUGUGAUUAUGAGAAGAGUAGCAUAUUACAAACCUUAGCGCAAGUGGGUAGGUAAUCAGGGGUGUGGCCGUGUGUCGGGGAGCUAAUGUAGGGAACCGCUCGUAUAUCCACACCUAGUGUGAAGGUACAUACAUAUAUGUGCACAUCAAAAUAUAUAUGAAGAAAAACUUGAUAAAUAAAAUGAUAGUAAAUGCGUACCUGUACUAACGUGGCGUA
This 430-nucleotide long non-coding RNA is filed under the name Daucus carota (carrot). RNAcentral's name for it is "long non-coding RNA (DCAR_LNC006607)". The record is from RNAcentral. Lineage: Eukaryota; Viridiplantae; Streptophyta; Magnoliopsida; Apiales; Apiaceae.